RNAcentral lists this ribosomal RNA (256 nucleotides) under uncultured soil bacterium. RNAcentral's name for it is "partial 16S ribosomal RNA". It matches the Rfam family "Bacterial small subunit ribosomal RNA", at positions 26 to 285 of the family's 1533-position model. The record is from RNAcentral.
AGAUUGAACGCUGGCGGCAUGCCUUACACAUGCAAGUCGAACGGCAGCACGGGAGCAAUCCUGGUGGCGAGUGGCGAACGGGUGAGUAAUAUAUCGGAACGUGCCCAGUAAUGGGGGAUAGCCCGGCGAAAGCCGGAUUAAUACCGCAUACGACCUAUGGGUGAAAGCGGGGGAUCGCAAGACCUCGCGUUAUUGGAGCGGCCGAUAUCAGAUUAGCUUGUUGGCGGGGUAAAAGCCCACAAGGCAAUGAUCUGUA